Molecule: long non-coding RNA, 4964 nt
Organism: Mirounga angustirostris (Northern elephant seal)
Lineage: Eukaryota; Metazoa; Chordata; Mammalia; Carnivora; Phocidae
Exons: 12
Source: RefSeq, a predicted model, not a curated record
GUGUUGACAUGGGUGUCCUCCGUGAGGGGUCUAUUUCUGUCUCAGUGCAGGGAGGAGAGGGACAGGGACAGGCCUGCCUAAACCAGGGACACUGGACAGGUCUCAUCCCAUUCCCAUGCCAAGUCCACCUGGCCCAACCAUCUUGGGACCAAGGGCAGAGGGCAAUGAGUCACAGAUGACUCAGGUGCUGGAGGCCACAGCCACGCGUGGCACCUGAUAGUCGAGAAGAACUAGGCCUGUUCCUGGACAGACAGGUGACCCGGGAGGCUGACCUUGUGAGGUUCCUUUCCUAGAAGACAGGAGGGCUGUUGGGCUGAGCCAUGUCCACUCCCCCAGAGGUGUGGGAUCAGGGUCAUGUUAAAAGGGAAAGAGUUUUCCCCGGCCCUUUGGAGACAGCAGCUAGUAGCCACUGCCCUGCUCUGCUCUUAGACUGGGUCUGACAGCCCUGUCUUCUUUGCCUCGAGGCAGGAGCACUGAAGCCUUGACCUGCUGCUUGAUCCGGAGGCCUGGGCCACAAGAUGAGACUGGCUGGGAUGUGGACAGCAUCCUGGGUUUGAAUCUGACUAUGCGAUCCGGAGCUGCACUGUUGCCCUUGGGGCCCACCCUCUGCAGCAUGAGGGGUUGUGUUGGAAACCUUGGAAGUUUCUUUCUUUCUUUUUUUUUUUUAAAGAUUUUAUUUAUUUGACAGAGAGAGACACGGCGAGAGAGGGAACACAAGUAGGGGGAGUGGGAGAUGGAGAAGCAGGCUUCCCGCGGAGCAGGGAGCCCGAUGCGGACCUCGAUCCCAGGACUCUGGGAUCAUGACCUGAGCCGAAGGCAGACGCUUAACGACUGAGCCACCCAGGUGCCCCUGGAAAGCUUGGAAGUUUCUUUUAGCUUCACCCCUGAUCAAAGCUUGAAGGCUGGGCUGAGGGAAGGCCUGCAAGAUGCCCCCUCUCUCUCCCCUCUGCUUGAGGUGGGGGACUGGGGAGGAGUGGACUGGGGAUGGGAAGUCCCGGCCUGGCAGGGUAUGCCCCAGGGUCCCUGUCCACCUGAGACACCCUGCUGAUUACAGGGUGAGCAGCCGCGACCAGACACUGUAAUCUGCCAUCCUCCCUCCUGCCAAGGGCCUGCUGCCGCCUUUCCUAGUGCUUUUUACAAUUGUUUCCUGGGAACCCUGGGAAGGGGGAAGCCCUCAUCCCCAUGGCGUGAGGCUGAAGCCAAAAAGAGGAGUCCAGGAGAGCAGGCACCUCGUCUGGGAGUGACCCACAACUUGCUGAAUGCCUGAAUCUCAAGUCUUGGGAAAACAAUGCUUCCUCUCAAGAUCAGCUGAAUGAAAUGAGCAACUUCUAAUCUGAUCAUCAACCGAGGCAGAGGAGGUUUAUAAUGGGUAAUCAAGGCAUGAAAACGGCCUGGGAUAAUUUACAUGAUUUUUUCAUGCUCAGUCUUCACAAGCUGUGUGCAUCCUCUGCUUACUCACAGCACAUCUCGAUUUGGACCAGCCCCGGGCGCUGGGCAGCGAGGGCUCGGUUUUCUGUCUCAUGUCCUUCCCUGUGCUGGAAGGAGCCAGGGCUGCCCGUGUGCGUGCGGGGACUCGGUGCUGGCGCCUGCCUGGCGAUGGAAGGUGCUCGCGGGGAUCCUCGGCCGCGAUCUGCUGCAUGCGGGGUUCGCCCGCCCCCGUUCGCGUUCCUGGGCGGCAGCUAGCCCCUGCCAGGGCUGCCGGCUGUUUUCCAGCGGCGGCACACAGACGACGCUAGUAUGCAUCUGUCAUCGUGGGGAGGCCUGCUUCUUCUACCUGGACUUAGACUUCCUGCUGUGGAUCACCUAUCAGCCAACCUCUCUCCCUUCUUUUCUUGGAAAAUUGGAGCCCAUUAUUAAAAAAAGAAAAAAGCAGACCCCGCAUUGAGUAACCUGUCAUCUGAACACCGAAACCUCACCAACACGAAAUGUAGCUGAAGGAAGGUGAUCCUGGCCCAUCUGGUCAUAGAAGGCAGAGAAUACAGUUUGCAGUUUGGUGGAGAGAGAGUUGGCCGAUUCCUUAGCCAUCCACUCUGGGAACUCACCUCUGGGAGUUACUAGGGACAGGGUGGGGAGCCUCAUCCCUCACAGAGAAAGCUUCAACUUGAAAAGUCACCAGCAACACCAGCCUAAGCCCCCUGGGGAUGGAGCAUGGCACCCAGGCAAGGAAGGGCCCGCGAAUGCCUUGGAGACAACAUUGCCUAAUGCCAUGGACGGGAAGAGCCCUCCCUGAUCAACUCCCCAGAUGGCACUUCUAUUUGCACUGGACUCUCGAAACUCAUUUACCAACAGCUCACUCUGCAAACAUUUCCUGAAUACCUACCGUGCUUGAGUCCAGAGGUUCUCAAACUUGACUGCACAGAAGAGUCAUCCAGGAAACUUGUGGGAAAGGCCGAUUCCCAGGCUCCACCCCAGAGACUUGGGAGCACAAAGGUGCUGGGGGCCGCCCAGGAAGCUGCAUUUCCAAUAAGCCACCGCGGUAGCAGUUUUAAGACCCUACUUGUGGGACCUAUCCUCAAAAGGCUCAUCGGUUUAAAAAAGGAUUGUGGAAAACACCCGUAAUUCUGCCUGCUUUUCAGAGAGCUGGGAGCCAGGGUCGGAGAGGGACCCUGGAACCCUAGCUCGAGAUGAGGAUGAAGACAAGUGCAGCUGUGGGAAGCAGUCUUCAGAUCUGGGAAAGGCUUCCCGUGGAGCCGGAGUGGGUGUCUGCAGGGUCACCCCACCUGGCAGGAUUAAUACCAGCGGGGGAGAGGCCACCCAGAUCAGACAGCCCAGAGCCCCAGCUUCGUGGCAGGAAGGGUGCCGCCCUGGGAAGGAAGAGCGCAAGAUCCCCGUAUGGAAAGAGAGCAGCUGAGGUCCCUAGGAGAUCGGCACUAUUAUCACUCCAUAGUACGGAAGAGGAAACUGAGGCACAGCAAGGGUCUGGUGCGGGAUGGCAAUCCUGGCCUUCUUCACGUGGCUCCUGCUCCUGGACCAGGCGGGCUUGCUGUCCCCUCUGUGCAGAUGGAGAAGCUGAGUCCUGAAUGGGGGAAGGGACUUUGCCAAGGCCCCAUACCUCGUGGAGCACUUCCCAGCCUACCGGCUGCCUCUUGAUCUUUAACCGCUAGAGUCCUAUCCCUGCCCCCCAACAAAUAGAUAAGGAGCUCCCAGCAAGAAAAGCUGCCGAUCUUGAGAAGCUCAACAUAGCCAUAGGGAAAGGCCACGCGGAGGAGAACUGAGGUGCUGCCCUUGGCCCCAGCGGACCCGGCACCAAUUUGCCAGCAUGGGAGUGAAGUCAUUCAGGAAGCAAAUCCUACAGUCUGAGGCAUGGAGCAGAGAUGAACUGACCCUGCCAUACCCUGUCACAACUGCAGAAUUGGGAUCAAAUAAAUAAUCGUUGUCUUAAGCCAUUAGCUUUUGGGGUAGCUUGUUACACAGCACGAGGUAGCCGAAACACAGGUGGAUGGCCCAGGGCCUUUGUACUGUCGGAAAAACGGAAUCCACCAUGCAUCCUUUUAUACCCAAAUGCCAAAUGUCUCUUCCUUACACCUUGAUACUAAAACACGACCUGGGAAGUUGCCGAUGCUCUGGAAAUACGUAAGCGUGCCUACUCUUCCCUCCAGAACCCCAGGCCCUGCCCUCGACUCCUGCCAAGUGUUUAUCUUUUCCCCUCCCGCUUGGAUUUGUAGCUUCUUCAAUGGGGGUGGGCUCCAUGGACCAUCCCUGGUUUUUCAUAAAGCUGCUGACCUGCCCUAUCACUUAGAUCAGGGUUGGGCAGCAUUUGGCAGCCAAAGGCUAUUUGUGUCUACAAUGGCCUCCCUCGAGCCCACGUGAGUAAACGUUGGAGGAAUGAAUGAACAAAUGAGCAAAUGAAUGAACUGUGACAAAAAGGAACUUCCCUGGAUCCCAGCACGAGGUCAAGAUGAGGAAAUCGUGGCCCAGAGAGGUUAGGCAACUUGCCUAAGUGGGGAUGGGAAGAUUUGAAUUCAGACAGUCUGGCACCAGAACCCAAGGGCAUAGCCCCCACGCUCUGACAAACCACAGGAGUCCCAUAUUCCGCCCUUGGAGAAAAGGCCGGAACCUGGAAUGCUUUAGGGCGCAAGCCCCAGACCCGAGCCUAUGAAGUGCUCCUGGGAACCUCCAAAAGCCCAGGUUGGAAGAGAAGAAGAAGCAAAAAAGGGAGAGACAGAGAGAGAGAAGCAGAGGGAGAAGCAGGCUCCCAAGGAGCAGGGAGCCCGAUGCGGGACUCGAUCCCAGGACCCCGAGAUCAUGACCUGAGCUGAAGGCAGACGCUUAACCAUCUGAGCCACCCAGGCGCCCUAUUAUUUCUAAUCUCCAUGAAAACUCUACCAUUAUCACCCCCUUCCGUGCACAGGAGAGCUAAGGCUUGGAACUUGGAGAGGUCACAUAUCCUGCCCAAGGUCACUUAAACUUGUAAAUGUCAGAAUCAAGAUUCAAAUCCAGAGCUGUUGGCUCCAAAGAAGUUCUCUAAACUAGCCUUUUCCAAAGCUAGCUGUUUAUCAGCAUUUGCAGAGAAGCUUUAUACAAGCACAUCUUCUUUACAAAAACAUCAUGAAAAAGAAUGAGGCAGCUCUCUAUGCAUCAAUAUGGUGCUGUGUGUGCCUAGAACAUCUCGAGAGAGAAGGCAAAUAGCCAGCCAUUGCUGGCCCUGGGGGACAGUCCCCGGAAGGAAUACAGGAGAGAGACUUGCUUGUCACUGUACUCUCUUCAGUACUGGUUGGUUCUUCCUCCCUCCCUCCCUUCCUCCUCCCACCCCCCUUACUUCCUCUGUCCUUUUCACCUUCUCAAAAAUAUAUGAAAAUAAUUUUUAAAUCAAAUACAAUUAUACAUUCCGGGGCCCCCUUGCUGGACUUCUUAAUAAAUAAGGGUCUCCAAGGGUUGGGUCUUCGGAAGCUGUAUUUUAUUUUGUUUGUUUGUUUUUAUUUUAAGUAGGCUCCACACUCAGUAUGGAGCCCAAUACAGGGCUU